UAGAUUAGUUACACAGGACCUACCUCUCCUAAAUCCAGAAUCCUCAGAAUGUUAUUUGAAUCCAGGUAAUCUACCAUUUUCACUUGGAUUAUAGCUUCUAUUACCUUUCCAGUUAUGCAAGUUAAGUUCCCUUGUAAUAUGCAGCCGAACCUGCCCACAUAAAUCUACGGAUUUUAUUUACAGUCUAUCCGUCCUUCCAUCUAAACUGCUUCCCCUGGUGAGAAUUGCACUACUUGACAUAAUAUGUAAAGAUGAAAGAUGUCAUAUUACUAUUCAAAUGGUUAUUGUAAAAAUAUAUGAAAGUGGCCACAGAAGUCACAUACAGCUGAUUGAUUCAUUUAGGUUUUGGUUCAUGUUUUGUGUGUCUGGACUAUCUGCAUUUGAGUCCGACAGGGAGGGGGUAGGGAAUGAAAUGGACAACCUGGAGUCUAGGAAGACGUUACAGUCUGAUGACGCUGUACCUUCAGUACCCGGGACCACAAGUCCUGGGAAAACAGCAUCCACACCCUGACAAAUUUAAAUGUGUUGGAGAACAGCAAGGCUGAGUAGAUGAACAUGAAGAGAAGCUGGAGGCUAGAGGGAUCUGAAGACAACCUCAAUGGUCCUUACCAGCCCCACUGAGUUUCAUUCACUUUGAUUUGAUUGUUAUGAAUGGUUCUUUAUGGCAUGACAUUAUAUUUGUAACCAUUCACAGUGAAGACACUAAUCCCUCUUUUGCCAAAGUAUUUUCUUGAAAAUGACAUGUGCAUUGUAAUAAUAGAGGAAAUCCAUAUGGUGUAACUUACUGGCAGUGACUGUCCUGGGUCAGGUUCCCACAAAAAGUCAAACUGGCCCAAACCAGUCACUGCUCAAAUUAACCCAUUCCCAGCAGGGUACAAGAAAAUAAUCACCUACAUUAUUAUCAUCACUCCUUGUUUGUGUUUAGACUUAAAAUCAGUGUUAAUAUUUUUAUUCUCUCGUUGCAGUUUUGUUGUUAUUGAAUUGUUUGCUCUUACAUUGUGCUGUUGCCCCUUAUAGCUUGAGAUCCUUGUACUUUACAGUGUAACGUAAUGCAGCGUUAUAUAUUUAUAAGUAGUAUAUUUUAUAGGGUGUUCGAAGAAUCCUUUUGGACACAACUGGAAGGACUGUGAUCUUUUUGUGAUGCUGUGUUUGUAGUGAGAGUUUUGUUUAGCUCACUGCUCACUGACUUUGCAGAAUUUCUCUUCAUAUUGUAGUAUUUCAAUGAGACGUGAGCUGUUCUCCAUUUAAAUGUCUACACAACUUUUUUCCAAAUAAACACCUUAACAUCCA
This is a non-coding RNA of Paramormyrops kingsleyae, 1290 nucleotides long. NCBI's taxonomy places the organism in Eukaryota, Metazoa, Chordata, Actinopteri, Osteoglossiformes, Mormyridae. The record is from RefSeq and is a predicted model, not a curated record.